GGGGGAGAAUCCAAGGGUGACGCUGCCCUCCUUGCAGACUCGCUCCUCGGAGCACGUUGCAGCCAGCCAGCACGUUGCUGCCUCUUUAAUCUCUGCUGCUGACAUCUCUUGUGCUUCUUCAGAAGGCCUCAUAGCUACUGCAUUAAGUCAGUGUAAGAUCCGAUUUUUCAAGAGCUGUGUUUGGCCACGAGGAAUCGUAUUACUGAGAUCCAAGAUAGACACCAAAUAUUCAUCUCUACCAAUUAAUCCCUGGCCCACGGUGCAGAUCCAGGGAAGAGCGUCACUGUGAGCCAGCACAUGAGAGACAUUUUCCAGAGGAUGUGGCUAGAGGAGAAAUUCAGAGCUGUGGAGCAGAAGCGCAGCUGCGUGUUGCUGCAGAGGCUGCAGCKUUUUGCAAUAGGAUGUGAAUGAUUUUCUCCCCCUUGUACCGUUUCACCCCAGCUUUGCUCUGCCCUAUCGCGYAUUUGUGCUUUGGGCACGAGGAAUCAUGAAUUUCCAGCAAAAACUCUGCUGGCAAAACCACCUUGGAAACAUUAUUGGAUAAUUCUCUCGCCAGCUCUUCAUGAUGUGCUCCAGCUUUAUAAAUCACACAGGGCCUGUUGGAAAUGGGCUCUGGAGCAACUCCAGAAUUUCUGGGACCUUCUGAUGAACACAGUGAGGCCAAUCUAAGAAGAGUUUGUAAAGACAUCCUUGUAGGCUGUGGUCAAGUCCUAUUCGUUCCUCCUCUUGGACAGACAGACUGCUCAGCUUCAUGUUCUCCCUGAAGUGUAUUUGGAGAUUGCAGGUGACUUCUGUGGCUCUUUCAAGCAUUCAGCAUUCUGGAAUACGCUUGCACCAGAAUAGAAGGAGCCAGAUUUAGUUUGCCCGGGUCUCCGCUUCCUAUCCCUCAGCUCUGUAGAGCAAACAYCUGCUUCAAACAAGGGACAUCUCUGCAGGAGUGCACAGACUGUUCACAGCCUGUCCUCAGACUAUCAGUCACCCAAGUGUCCUUGAUGGUUUCUAAUCACCUCYG
Nothoprocta perdicaria is the source of this 1012-nucleotide long non-coding RNA. RefSeq lists it as uncharacterized. The record is from RefSeq and is a predicted model, not a curated record. Lineage: Eukaryota; Metazoa; Chordata; Aves; Tinamiformes; Tinamidae. The transcript is spliced from 3 exons.